Molecule: transfer RNA, 77 nt
Filed under: Fidelibacterota bacterium
Lineage: Bacteria; Pseudomonadati; Fidelibacterota
Description: tRNA-Met
Rfam family: tRNA
About the family: Transfer RNA (tRNA) molecules are approximately 80 nucleotides in length. Their secondary structure includes four short double-helical elements and three loops (D, anti-codon, and T loops).
Source: RNAcentral
CGCGGGGUGGAGCAGUCUGGUAGCUCGUCGGGCUCAUAACCCGAAGGUCGUUGGUUCGAAUCCGGCCCCCGCUACCA